This 443-nucleotide unclassified non-coding RNA is filed under the name Hevea brasiliensis (rubber tree). The record is from RNAcentral. Lineage: Eukaryota; Viridiplantae; Streptophyta; Magnoliopsida; Malpighiales; Euphorbiaceae.
GGAUUUCAUGUGCCAGGGUGAAGGGUUUUACUGAUGAAAUUUAUUUGUGGAAAAUUCUUAUUUGUUGAGAGAAUACAAUGAUGAAGUGAAAUCAUAGGUUCAUCAUCAUAUUCACAACAUGAAGUACAUAACACUUGUUGUUAGGUGCCUCACUAUUUCAAUUUUUUUUUUCAGUACUAGAAUUUUAUUUUUUAAUUACAAAUCUACCAUACUAAUUUUUGCUGAGUGGAUUGUCAUCGAAAUGUCUAGUCCAAUUUCACAUUUAGAAGCCUAAGCAAUGCUGAAAAGUUCUUUGGGAUGGUUUGGCUUGUUUUAAAAGCUGUUCCAUGUUUUUACAUGUUGACAUUGUAAACCUAACUAGAAACAUCCCAUUAACUUAUUAUCAAAAAUAAAUUUAAAAUUGAUUGGCUGACAUUUGAUUUCAUAUUGAUUGUUAAUGGAUC